This 515-nucleotide ribosomal RNA is filed under the name uncultured bacterium. RNAcentral describes it as "bacterial SSU rRNA". It matches the Rfam family "Bacterial small subunit ribosomal RNA", at positions 376 to 882 of the family's 1533-position model. The record is from RNAcentral.
CGAAAGUCUGACGGAGCAACGCCGCGUGAGUGAAGAAGGUUUUCGGAUCGUAAAGCUCUGUCUUUGAGGACGAAUGUGCUUAAUGUGAAUAAUGUUAAGUAAUGACGGUACUCGAGGAGGAAGCCACGGCUAACUACGUGCCAGCAGCCGCGGUAAUACGUAGGUGGCAAGCGUUGUCCGGAAUUAUUGGGCGUAAAGCGCGCGCAGGCGGGAUAUUAAGUCUGUUUUAAAAGUUCGGGGCUCAACCCCGUGGUGGAAUGGAAACUAAUAUUCUUGAGUGCAGGAGAGGAAAGUGGAAUUCCCAGUGUAGCGGUGAAAUGCGUAGAUAUUGGGAGGAACACCAGUGGCGAAGGCGACUUUCUGGACUGUGUCUGACGCUGAGGCGCGAAAGCCAGGGGAGUGAACGGGAUUAGAUACCCCGGUAAUCCUGGCCGUAAACGAUGGGUACUAGGUGUAGGAGGUAUCGACCCCUUCUGUGCCGGAGUUAACGCAAUAAGUACCCCGCCUGGGGAGUA